AACGCUAGCUACAGGCUUAACACAUGCAAGUCGAGGGGCAGCAUUGGAGUAGCAAUACUUCAGAUGGCGACCGGCGCACGGGUGAGUAACACGUAUCCAACCUGCCGCUUACUCGGGGAUAGCCUUUCGAAAGAAAGAUUAAUACCCGAUGGUAUAAAGAGUUCGCAUGUUCUCUUUAUUAAAGAAUUUCGGUAAGCGAUGGGGAUGCGUUCCAUUAGAUAGUUGGCGGGGUAACGGCCCACCAAGUCUACGAUGGAUAGGGGUUCUGAGAGGAAGGUCCCCCACAUUGGAACUGAGACACGGUCCAAACUCCUACGGGAGGCAGCAGUGAGGAAUAUUGGUCAAUGGACGAGAGUCUGAACCAGCCAAGUAGCGUGAAGGAUGACUGCCCUAUGGGUUGUAAACUUCUUUUAUAAGGGAAUAAAGUGAGGGACGUGUCCCUUUUUGUAUGUACCUUAUGAAUAAGGAUCGGCUAACUCCGUGCCAGCAGCCGCGGUAAUACGGAGGAUCCAAGCGUUAUCCGGAUUUAUUGGGUUUAAAGGGAGCGUAGGUUGACAUAUAAGUCAGCUGUGAAAGUUUACGGCUCAACCGUGAAAUUGCAGUUGAUACUGUAUGUCUUGAGUGUACAAGAGGUGGGCGGAAUUCGUGGUGUAGCGGUGAAAUGCUUAGAUAUCACGAAGAACUCCGAUUG
RNAcentral lists this ribosomal RNA (691 nucleotides) under uncultured bacterium. Its description in RNAcentral is "bacterial SSU rRNA". It matches the Rfam family "Bacterial small subunit ribosomal RNA", at positions 32 to 715 of the family's 1533-position model. RNAcentral also lists the same sequence under 1 other name. The record is from RNAcentral.